AUUAUGGCUCAGGAUGAACGCUGGCGGCGUGCUUAACACAUGCAAGUCGAACGAUUAAGACCCCUUCGGGGGUGUAUAGAGUGGCGAACGGGUGAGUAACACGUGGGCAACCUGCCCCUCACUUCGGGAUAACUCAGGGAAACCUGUGCUAAUACCGGAUACUCCGGGAUGGUCGCAUGGCCGGCCCGGGAAAGCUCCGACGGUGAGGGAUGGGCCCGCGGCCCAUUAGCUUGUUGGUGAGGUAACGGCUCACCAAGGCGACGAUGGGUAGCCGAGCUGAGAGGCUGAUCGGCCACACUGGGACUGAGACACGGCCCAGACUCCUACGGGAGGCAGCAGUGGGGAAUCUUGCGCAAUGGGCGAAAGCCUGACGCAGCAACGCCGCGUGCGGGAUGAAGGCCUUCGGGUUGUAAACCGCUUUCAGCAGGGACGAAACUGACUGUACCUGCAGAAGAAGCCCCGGCUAACUACGUGCCAGCAGCCGCGGUAAUACGUAGGGGGCAAGCGUUAUCCGGAUUCAUUGGGCGUAAAGCGCGCGUAGGCGGCUUGUUAAGCGAGAUGUGAAAACCGGGGGCUCAACCCGCGGCCUGCAUCUCGAACUGGCAGGCUUGAGUCUGGUAGAGGAAAGUGGAAUUCCCAGUGUAGCGGUGAAAUGCGCAGAUAUUGGGAGGAACACCAGUGGCGAAGGCGGCUUUCUGGGCCACGACUGACGCUGAGGCGCGAAAGCUAGGGGAGCGAACAGGAUUAGAUACCCUGGUAGUCCUAGCCGUAAACGAUGGGCACUAGGUGUGGGGGGUUAUCAACUCCCUCCGUGCCGCAGCUAACGCAUUAAGUGCCCCGCCUGGGGA
RNAcentral lists this ribosomal RNA (848 nucleotides) under uncultured bacterium. RNAcentral's name for it is "bacterial SSU rRNA". It matches the Rfam family "Bacterial small subunit ribosomal RNA", at positions 16 to 879 of the family's 1533-position model. The record is from RNAcentral.